RNAcentral lists this ribosomal RNA (380 nucleotides) under Bacillus amyloliquefaciens. Its description in RNAcentral is "bacterial SSU rRNA". It matches the Rfam family "Bacterial small subunit ribosomal RNA", at positions 78 to 450 of the family's 1533-position model. The record is from RNAcentral. Lineage: Bacteria; Bacillati; Bacillota; Bacilli; Caryophanales; Bacillaceae.
GCUUGCUCCCUGAUGUUAGCGGCGGACGGGUGAGUAACACGUGGGUAACCUGCCUGUAAGACUGGGAUAACUCCGGGAAACCGGGGCUAAUACCGGAUGGUUGUUUGAACCGCAUGGUUCAGACAUAAAAGGUGGCUUCGGCUACCACUUACAGAUGGACCCGCGGCGCAUUAGCUAGUUGGUGAGGUAACGGCUCACCAAGGCAACGAUGCGUAGCCGACCUGAGAGGGUGAUCGGCCACACUGGGACUGAGACACGGCCCAGACUCCUACGGGAGGCAGCAGUAGGGAAUCUUCCGCAAUGGACGAAAGUCUGACGGAGCAACGCCGCGUGAGUGAUGAAGGUUUUCGGAUCGUAAAGCUCUGUUGUUAGGGAAGAAC